UGUGACAGGCCGGUAGUAUCUUCGAUGACGUUGAAAUCGGCUGAGUACAAAAACGAGCUUUUACUCCUCUCCAAUUUGAUACACAAACAUUGGAACCAGUUGCCUGCUUCAAUGGAUGUCCAAUGUCAACGACCCAGCGAAGCUAUUUCACCGUUCUACACACUGUUGACACCUAACGGAUCCUUACAGCUAUUGAAGAAUCGAUGGACUUGGCAUAGAGCCAUCGAGAUCCUUACGCAGUCGUUAGAUGUCAAUAUAUCGGUUCCUCAGGUCGCUGAUGCGGAGCUAGUUGCAGCCAAUUUGAAUGCAGAAAAUACAAAAAUGGCUAAAAUCGUGGACGAAAUUCGGUUUAUGUACCAAACGGGAAAUCAAACCGUUGCGGAAAUUCGGAAAUAUUUACAAUUUUUACUGGACACAUCGUUGGGAUCGCUUAUACCAGAAAGUCUCAUGAUAAACCGACGUAGUUUCUGCGAUUACGAAGAAGAGUUUC
Bradysia coprophila is the source of this 490-nucleotide long non-coding RNA. Lineage: Eukaryota; Metazoa; Arthropoda; Insecta; Diptera; Sciaridae. The record is from RefSeq and is a predicted model, not a curated record.